This is a long non-coding RNA of Chinchilla lanigera (long-tailed chinchilla), 555 nucleotides long. RefSeq lists it as uncharacterized. The record is from RefSeq and is a predicted model, not a curated record. The transcript is spliced from 3 exons. NCBI's taxonomy places the organism in Eukaryota, Metazoa, Chordata, Mammalia, Rodentia, Chinchillidae.
UCUAACCUACGUAGGCUGCCAUGAGAUAUUAUAUUAUUAUAUUGGACAGGACCAACAUUUUACCUUAAUCUAAUUGUUUAUUUACAAAACUGUCAAAUGGUGGUAAAAUUUCAAACUCUUCAGAGUGUGCCAAAGCGCUACCUUCCUACUGAUUGCAAGUGUGAGCGCUGGUCCCAGCGUCUUGCAUCCGUCUGCCACCAGGAAGCUGUCUGUGGAAACAAGGGCAUCUACAUAUUCCACUCACAACAGCAGAGCUAGAAUUCACACUCAGAAACACUGUCCACCGAAGAAAAGAGCUUCAGAGUGACAGAAGAGAGCACGCUGAACAGGGUCUUCAGGGUUCCGCACUUCACAGACGUUCUCAGUCGCAGGAGCCGGCGUUUGCCUGAAAGUUCGGGUGGACACACUGUACUGAGGACAGACUGGGGUCACGAGCAAAAUCCGAAGUCCAUACAUGGAAGGGAGCCCGGGAGUCCCCAGCUCCCCGCUGCAGCUCAGCUCAGGAGCGCUGCCAUCCAGAGAAGAGGCGGCGUCGGCACUGGAGACGGGCGCGGA